UCAAACUUGGUCAUUUAGAGGAAGUAAAAGUCGUAACAAGGUUUCCGUAGGUGAACCUGCGGAAGGAUCAUUAACAGUGCCCGGGCGAGAGCCCGACGCCACUCCAACCCAUCCGCGUACCUGACCCUGUUGCCUCCGUGAGGCCAUGGGGCGCCCCCUCCAGGGCGCUCCGGGGGGACCGCGCUCGCCGGCCUCCGCCCACGGGGGGACCACUCGAAACUCACGCUUUUUUAACCUGGACAGUCUGAGAGGCGUCUGCGGACGCGACGAAUGCAAGUUAAAACUUUCAACAACGGAUCUCUUGGUUCCCGCAUCGAUGAAGAACGCAGC
Molecule: unclassified non-coding RNA, 330 nt
Filed under: uncultured fungus
Lineage: Eukaryota; Fungi
Description: partial contains small subunit ribosomal RNA, internal transcribed spacer 1, and 5.8S ribosomal RNA
Rfam family: Eukaryotic small subunit ribosomal RNA (bases 1-73)
Source: RNAcentral